GAGAACAUCGACAUCUUGAACGCAUAUUGCGGCUACGGGGUAUCUCGUGGCCACGCCUGUCCGAGGGUUGGCUUUUUAUUUAUCGCGACGCCCAAAAUGUCGUGGCUUGGAAAUAGUGCUACCUGGCAAUAGUGAUUGCUUGCUAUUCCUAGAUGUUUACGUUUGUGUAUGUGUGUUUUGCAUACGUAGCAUGGAAUUAGUUGAGCGCGCCAGUAUUAAUUAUGUGGCUCUUUCCUAAUGUGACCGGUCGCAAUCAUACUCAAAUUGUGUAUUUGAGUGGAAUUGUGGUAGCGGCUUGUGCUCAGGUUGUGGCUUAGUAUAGUUGUUGAUCAUGCCUGAGGUUGCUAGUUGUUACUGUAAUUCGGUUUAAAUGCUCAAUGUGGUUUAUUGAGUGUGAAAUAACGACUGACGAUGCAAUGUUUCUUUGCCUAACCUCGGAUCAGACGUGAAUACCCGCUGAACUUAAGCAUAUCACUAAGCGGAGGAAAAGAAACUAACCAGGA
RNAcentral lists this ribosomal RNA (503 nucleotides) under Cardicola orientalis. Its description in RNAcentral is "eukaryotic LSU rRNA". The stretch from base 430 to 503 matches the Rfam family "Eukaryotic large subunit ribosomal RNA", at positions 1 to 74 of the family's 3401-position model. Lineage: Eukaryota; Metazoa; Platyhelminthes; Trematoda; Strigeidida; Aporocotylidae. The record is from RNAcentral.